RNAcentral lists this unclassified non-coding RNA (336 nucleotides) under soil metagenome. RNAcentral's name for it is "partial contains 5.8S ribosomal RNA, internal transcribed spacer 2, and large subunit ribosomal RNA". The stretch from base 1 to 120 matches the Rfam family "5.8S ribosomal RNA", at positions 35 to 154 of the family's 154-position model. The record is from RNAcentral.
GAUGAAGAACGUAUCGAAAUGCGAUAAGUAGUGUGAAUUGCAGAAUUCAGUGAAUCAUCGAAUCUUUGAACGCACAUUGCGCCCCAUGGUAUUCCGUGGGGCAUGCCUGUUCGAGCGUCAUUUACCCCCUCAAGCUCCGCUUGGUGUUGGGCGUCUGUCCCGCUUCGCGCGCGGACUCGCCCCAAAGGUAUUGGCAGCGGUCGUGCCAGCUUCUCGCGCAGCACAUUGCGCUUCUCGAGGCACCGGUGGGCCCGCGUCCAUCAAGCUCACCCCCCCAGUUUGACCUCGGAUCAGGUAGGGAUACCCGCUGAACUUAAGCAUAUCAAUAAGCGGAGG